AGUGCAUCGAGGAAUACAAGCUUGAGGCUGAUUACCCUUCGGAAGGCCUUCGAAAACGUCUGGAACAGCUAGAGAAGACAAAAGUUGACAAGAAAAAACCUGCAGCAGUUCCUGCCAACAAGCGAACACGGGCUAGCAAUGGGGGUCCUAUGCCUCCUGCCAAGGCUGGUCGUCUAACGAACGCAUAUGUCUCUUCUUUCCCAGCAAGUAGCCCUACCUAUGUCCGCUCUCCAUCACAUUCUCCAUACUCACCUGUGGUGUCACCUGUGGUUUCACCUUAUGCUUAUGAAAGGCAACAUGCUCCCUCCAUGUAUGGCAGCAGGAGCCCACCGACCAUUGUGUAUUCUCCAGAAGAAGCUGCUCCACCUAUGCUUGGUGGCUCAUAUCCAGGGGCUCCCUUAAAUUAUCCUGCAUACGGAGGAUAUGGAAAUGGUUUAGUAGCAGGGUAUCCACAGGCAUACUACCGAUAAAGAUGAGAAAUCUGACAAUGCUGAUCUACAGUGGGAUAACUCAUGGAAGAUGGUAACACUGAUGAUGACCCCAAUCUCAACUACACUUUAGUGGUUUGUUUGUAACUAAUCACUAACUACUUAUCGUAGCCAUGUGUGUGUUAUUAUGUCCUUGUUAAUGUUGAACCUGUAUUUCUAGUCUUAAUUCGACUUGUAGGUGAUUGUGAAAAGUUAUCAGCUAAAACAGUUCAGCUCUAAUAAAGACUUCAGAAACACUGACUGCAAGUUUCACUUGCAGCAGGGACUACUGUUAAGGGCUAAUUUCUGUUAUUUUUUUUAUUCCCCAUUUCUUUGCAAGAAUGGGUUCAACUGAAACAAAUAGUCAAAUACCACCAUUGCCUGUUAUUUAAUUACUGCAUGGUAGAGUAUGUUCUCGUUAUUCUAAACCCUAAUGUCACUGAAUUUGUCAGCACUUUCGACUAUAUUUACUGUUCAACAUUUCAAAUGCAUAAUGUAUGUAUGAGACCUUCCUCACUGAACAACUGCAUGAUAUCAAACUAGCACUCUACUUGGUUUUAUAUUACACAUAUUUUUGUAGUCUGCCAUGUAUUUGUUACACUGCAUCCUUUCAAAAUGUGCAUGCCAAUUCUGUUAAUUCAAUCACGAAAAUGCUGAACGUUUUAGCUGAACUUACAUGAAGAAUUAUGGACUUGCGUUGAUUUUGGUACAUAAGCACUGCCACAAUUCCACAACAUUGUAUGAUGCAGAGAGAGUGAAAACCACUGAAUUAUUUCAUAAAUGAUAACGUUUUUUUCACAAGAGAUUCGCUAUGAUUUGUAUCUAUGAACUUUAAAACCCAUGAAACUGACAUAGGGCACAGGAAAAUGUUGUUGUCGUCCAAACAGUAAAAUUUUCCGAAAAAGACUUAAAAAAAGAGGGGAGAAAAAAAAAGUCGGGUUUUGAAAAUUGCAGUAAAACCUUUUCUCUCACACCAAUGUGACACCACACCCCAUCUUCCUUCUCUGAUUACGAAGGUGAGAAAGAUUCUCUUUAUUUAUAGAAUAGAUUUCGUUGAAUUUGCAGUGAAGAUAAUGAUUUUGGGUUAUGAAUUUGAGUUCAAUCUAGCUAGUAGGUAUUUGAAUGUAGUUUAUGUAGAUAGAAUCAUGGUUUCUAGCUGAGAAUGGGUUUUAUUUCAAUUCAUAGUUUUUGCCUGAUUUUUGCUUUGAAUAACUAGAUUUGUUGAUGCCUAGUUUUGUUUUUAUUUAUUGAAGAUCAUGCAUGCAUUGCAAUGGUGCAGAUUAUGUGUUUGUGGAAAGGUCAAAGAGAGAUAUAUAUUGUUUCACUGUUUAGUUUUUUUUCUUUCUUUGGCUUUAGAUUAUCUUUUUCAGCUAUUUGCGAUACUUUCGAGGAUUCAUUUGACUAAUAUGCUAGACAUAGAGUGGAUUUAAUGCAUAUUUUUGUUAACUCAGUAGGAAACUAGGAACUACUUUGUUGUGUUGCUUGUGUUUAUACACCAGCUCUUGUUCGGUCGUGUUUUGACAAGAAAUAUGUGACUGCAGGUUCUUUCAAUUUAAUCUCCUCCUUGGUUGCAAAAGAAAAAAGUGUAGUAAAUGAAGCCACUAAUAAGAUGGCCCAAGCUUCUCAACCCAACUCAACUAUCACAAAUUAUCCGAGACAACCAAAAAAACCCAUUAACCGCUUUUCGUAUCUUUAAUGAAGCUAAAUCCAAGUAUCCAAACUACAGACACAAUGGUCCUGUUUAUGCCACCAUGAUCAACAUCCUUGCAGGCACAGGUCGUUUGUCUGAAAUGAAAGACGUGAUCUACCAGAUGAAACAAGAUUCCUGUGAGUGCAAAGAUUCCAUUUUUGCAACUGUAAUCCAGACUUACGCUAAUUCUGGUUUGAUCGAUGAAGCCGUUUCGUUAUUCAGAAAUCUGCCACACUUCAAUUGUGUGAAUUGGACACAGUCUUUUAAUACUCUGUUGCACAUCUUGCUCCAGGACCAGAAGCAUGAAUCCACAUUGUUAGAAACUGCUCGUGAAUUGUACUUGAACAAUUCCAUAGGAUGGGAGGUUAGGAACCGAAUCCCAUCUUUGAACUUGUUCAUUGAAGCUCUUUGUCGUAGAAAUCGUUCUGAUCUCGCUCUUGAGAUUUUUCAAGAAAUGAACAGUCUGUGUUGUUACCCAGACAGAAACACGUACACAGUUCUAAUGAGAGGUCUGUGUGAGGAUGGGAGACUCAACGAAGCAACCCAUUUACUGUAUUCUAUGUUUUGGAGGAUCUCUCAGAAAGGCAGUGGUGAAGAUAUUAUAGUCUAUAGAACACUUUUAGAGGCUAUGUGUGACAGUGGACAGGUUGAAGAGGCUGUAGAGAUUCUGGGUAAGGUCUUGAGGAAAGGACUGAAGACUCCGAAACAGCGUCGCCAAGGUGUCAGUGUAAGACAAUUUCGUGAAAUUGAAAACUUGGAAGGGAUAAAAGGUUUGAUUAAUCUAGCCCUCAUAAAAGGUGUCGUUCCUAGUUUGUCUAGUUAUAGUGCUACGUCUCUUGAUCUUUACUCCCAAGGAAAAAUUGACGAUGCCGACCGGGUGUUUGAUGAAUCGCGACAGAGAGGCUUUUGCCCAUCGCUUUCCAUGUAUGAAGCGAAGAUAGAGGCACUCUGUAGAGAAGGGAGAGCUGGGAUAGCUGCUGUGAAAGUUAUUGAAGAAGAAAUGGUGGAGGGAAAUUGUGUUCCUACUGUCCAAACGUAUAAAAUAUUGGUAAAAGGUCUAUGCGGUGAAGGGAAGUCGAUGGUUGGUCUUAGAUACUUGGGCAAGAUGGAUAAACAGGUGGGUUGUGUGGCGGACAAAGAACUCUACAAUAUCCUGGUGGAAGGAUUGUGUUCUGAAAGACGAUUUAUUGAAGCUAGUAAGGUUUUCGAAAAGAUGCUAAAUAAAAGAUAUUGGCCAUCUGUUGCUUCUUACAAUAGGCUUGUUGAAGGGUUAUGUGUGGUGGGCAGGAGAUAUGAAGUUGUGUUGUGGCUGGAGGAGAUGACUAGCCAAGGUGAGUUCCCAGACGUUUCUCUAUGGAACUCGUUGGUUAAACUUAUGUGUUCUGAGUCGACAGACACUAAUGACGGGGUGAAGAUGCUCCAACACCUUACCAACUCUUCUUAAUGAAGGUUAACAGAGCUUGCAAAUGCCUUAAUAUGCAAUGCAUGCAAGGAAAGGAGCUAAAGUGCUCUUGAUGUGCCAAGAUAGAAAGAAUAAAAAAAAAGAACUGUGUGAGAAUAGGGUUAUUCUCUAAAUGUAUGACUAUGAGAUUGCAAUGGCUAAACAUAUGAACUGAUUAUCUAGGUAAAUGAGCUACAGUUACAGAGAACUUGUCUUUUUACGAUAUCUAGAAUGAGUUUUAGAAGGUAAUAGACGGCUAUGCAUGACAGGACGUUGGAGUCACCAGUCUCUUAGCUACUGGUAAGCACUGACUCAACUCUCUAAAUGGGUAUAAUGUUCAUCUGAAAGCAUAUAAAGGACAUAAUGUUCAUCUGAAAGCAUAUAAAGGACAUAAUGUUCAUCUGAAAGCAUUUUUGUUUAAUAAAAUGCUGAAACUUGUGCAUUAUGAGUUAAGCCAUAGAUGCUUACAUCGAUGCUUGUUGCAGCAACUUGCAGAACACAAGGAGCAGUCUGGCCUCUGGGCUGUCAUCAAGUGCAUUGAGGAGUACAAGCUUGAGGCCAAUUACCCUUCUGAAGGCCUUUGAACAUGUCUGGAACAGCUAGAGAAAACAAAAAUUGGCAAGAAAAAACCUGCAGCAGUUCCUGCCAACAAGUGAACACGGGCUAGCAAAGGGGGUCCAACGCCUCCACCAAGGCUGGUCGUCUAAUGAACGUAUAUGUCUCUUCAUUCCCAGCAAGAAGCCCUACCUAUGCCCUCUCUCCGUCACAUUCUCCAUACUCACCUGUGGUGUCACCUUAUGCUUAUGAAAGACACCAUGGUCCCUCCAUGUAUGGCAGCAGGAGCCCACCGACAAUUGUGUAUUCUCCACAAAAAGCUACUCCACCAAUGCUUGACGGCUCAUAUGCAGGAGGAGCUCUCUUAAAUUAUUCUGCAUGCGGAGGAUAUGGAAAUGGUUUAGUAGCAGGGUAUCCACAGGCAUAGUACCGAUAAAGAUGAGAAAUCUUACAAUUCUGAUAUACCGUGGGAUUACUCAUUGAAAAUGGCAACACUGAUGAUGACCCCAAUCCCAACUACACUUUAGUGGUUUAUUUGUAACUAAUCACUAACUACUUAUGGUAGUGAUAUGUGUGUUAUUAUGUCCUUGUUAAUGUUGACAUAUUUGUAUUUCUAGUCUUAAUUCGACUUGUAGGUGAUUGUGAAAAAUUAUCAGUUAAGACAUUUCAGUUCUAAUAAAGACUUAAGGAAGGGACUGUUAAGGGUUAUCUUUUGUACGCCUUUCUGUUUUUGUUUUCCAUUACACUUGACAAAAAUGGGUUCAACUGUAACAAAAAACCACC
Molecule: long non-coding RNA, 4936 nt
Filed under: Aquilegia coerulea
Lineage: Eukaryota; Viridiplantae; Streptophyta; Magnoliopsida; Ranunculales; Ranunculaceae
Description: long non-coding RNA (ACOE_LNC001241)
Source: RNAcentral